Non-coding RNA from Didymella exigua CBS 183.55, 90 nucleotides. The record is from the annotation of a RefSeq genome assembly. Lineage: Eukaryota; Fungi; Ascomycota; Dothideomycetes; Pleosporales; Didymellaceae.
GCAUCGAUAGUUUAGGGGUAGAAUUGAAGCUUCCCAUCUCACCAAUGGAAGGACUUGCUUCAGGCACGGGUUCGAUUCCCGUUCGAUGCA